Long non-coding RNA from Pezoporus flaviventris, 378 nucleotides. RefSeq lists it as uncharacterized. NCBI's taxonomy places the organism in Eukaryota, Metazoa, Chordata, Aves, Psittaciformes, Psittacidae. The transcript has 3 exons. The record is from RefSeq and is a predicted model, not a curated record.
GCAAGCUCAGUCCCAUUGGGAAUGACGUCUGUGGACGCUUAGUGCAGCCUUGGUCUGAGUCCACAGUCAGUGUCACCCAUGGAGCGUGUGAAAGCAGUGUGACCUGAAACAUGACAAAGCAGAGAGAAGUUACUCUGUUGGGAAAAGAAGAUGCUUCCACAUAGAACGACACAUCAACAAAGCUCAUGAAAUACUGUCUUAUUCUUUGGAGGACACCAACAUCCUUCUCCUGUACAGAAGCCUCCCGAGGACCUUGCUGUAGGCAUGAAUGGUCUGCUGCUGAUCCCUCAGGUUGAGUAAGUUUAUCCACAGGAGUAGCUGUCAUGAUCAAGGAGUGAUAUGUAACCUGACCAUUACAAAGACAUAGUGUGCUAUGAA